AUGGGUGGUGCGGCCAUGAUGUUAUCGAGUUCUAGGUCCAAAGCCAGGUUCCUCCUCACACAUGUUGUGCGGACGAUCACUGCUAGUGACGACAAUGCCUACCGUUGUGUGUACCAAGAGGAAGACGAUGAGGGAAUUAAGGGCGCCAAUCUGUCAAAGAACCUCAUGGCUAUUGCUGGAGACGCUCUCAAGGCCAACAUCACGGCCAUGGGGCCACUUGUCUUGCCUACAUCAGAGCUGAUCAAGUUUCUUCUCGUCUCCUUGGCAAGGAAGAUGCUCCUUGGGAGGAGGAUAAGGCCUUACAUUCCCAAUUUCCGUACAGCGUUCGAGCACUUCUGCAUCCACGUUGGUGGACCAGCGGUGAUCAGCUCGGUACAAUGUGGCCUUAAUCUAUCAGAUGAGCAUGUCGAGCCUUCACGAAUGACACUGCAUCAAUUCGGAAAUCAGUCGAGUGCAUCUGUGUGGUACGAGUUGGGAUACAUAGAAGCCAAGGGUCGAAUGCUAAAAGGUAAUAGGGUCUGGAUGAUUGGUUUCGGAGCUGGAUAUGAAUGCAACUCCGCAGUGUGGGUGUGCAUCCGUACAUCUCACGGUGACCAUGGGCCAUGGGCUAGUUGCAUCCAUCGAUACCCGCUAGAUGUGCAGAAAUAA
Molecule: ribosomal RNA, 648 nt
Filed under: Triticum aestivum (bread wheat)
Lineage: Eukaryota; Viridiplantae; Streptophyta; Magnoliopsida; Poales; Poaceae
Description: partial small subunit ribosomal RNA
Source: RNAcentral